This 322-nucleotide ribosomal RNA is filed under the name uncultured eukaryote. Its description in RNAcentral is "partial 18S ribosomal RNA". It matches the Rfam family "Eukaryotic small subunit ribosomal RNA", at positions 1470 to 1796 of the family's 1831-position model. The record is from RNAcentral.
CCCUUAGAUGUUCUGGGCCGCACGCGUGCUACACUGAACGGUUCAAUGGGUAAGGUAGUGCGAAAGCAUGACCUAAUCUCGAAAUCCGUUCGUGCUGGGGAUAGAAGCUUGCAAUUAUCCUUCUUGAACGAGGAAUACCUUGUAAGCGUGAGUCAUCAUCUCACGCUGAAUACGUCCCUGCCCUUUGUACACACCGCCCGUCGCUCCUACCGAUUGAGUGUUCCGGUGAGGCUUCGGGAGAACUGGGUGGAUUGUGUUCCACAAACUGCUCGGUUUGAACUUAGUCAAACCUUAUCACUUAGAGGAAGGAGAAGUCGUAACA